UUGUGAGGUUAAGCGACUAAGCGUACACGGUGGAUGCCCUGGCAGUCAGAGGCGAUGAAGGACGUGCUAAUCUGCGAUAAGCGUCGGUGAGGUGAUAUGAACCGUUAUAACCGGCGAUUUCCGAAUGGGGAAACCCAGUGUGUUUCGACACACUAUCAUUAACUGAAUCCAUAGGUUAAUGAGGCGAACCGGGGGAACUGAAACAUCUAAGUACCCCGAGGAAAAGAAAUCAACCGAGAUUCCCCCAGUAGCGGCGAGCGAACGGGGAGGAGCCCAGAGCCUGAAUCAGUGUGUGUGUUAGUGGAAGCGUCUGGAAAGGCGCGCGAUACAGGGUGACAGCCCCGUACACAAAAAUGCACA
This 360-nucleotide ribosomal RNA is filed under the name Escherichia coli. RNAcentral's name for it is "partial 23S ribosomal RNA". It matches the Rfam family "Bacterial large subunit ribosomal RNA", at positions 1 to 391 of the family's 2925-position model. Lineage: Bacteria; Pseudomonadati; Pseudomonadota; Gammaproteobacteria; Enterobacterales; Enterobacteriaceae. The record is from RNAcentral.